GAAAUGCGAUAAGUAAUGUGAAUUGCAGAAUUCAGUGAAUCAUCGAAUCUUUGAACGCACAUUGCGCCCGCCAGUAUUCUGACGGGCAUGCCUGUUCGAGCGUCAUUACAACUCUCAGGCCCCCGGGCCUGGCGUUGGGGAUCGGCGGAAGCCCCCUGCGGGCACAACGCCGUCCCCCAAAUACAGUGGCGGUCCCGCCGCAGCUUCCAUUGCGUAGUAGCUAACACCUCGCAACUGGAACGCGGCGCGGCCAAGCCGUUAAACCCCCAACUUCUGAAUGUUGACCUCGGAUCAGGUAGGAAUACCCGCUGAACUUAAGC
RNAcentral lists this unclassified non-coding RNA (320 nucleotides) under plant metagenome. RNAcentral describes it as "partial contains 5.8S ribosomal RNA, internal transcribed spacer 2, and large subunit ribosomal RNA". The stretch from base 1 to 105 matches the Rfam family "5.8S ribosomal RNA", at positions 50 to 154 of the family's 154-position model. The record is from RNAcentral.